UAUAGGGUUGAAGGAUUAAAAAUUAAUAAUAAGCCGCCUAGCUACCCAAAAAGAAGAGGUAGGGUCUGUGAGAACAUGAACUUUUCGCCCCUCCCUUGCUGUGCAAUGGUUCCCGGAACAUUCUUGCAUGAAAGGUUUCCUGGAACAGCCACAAUGACCCAUAGCCUCCGGCCACAAUGGUCCAAUGGCCCUGUAAAAUGUCACUACCCCUAAUCACAAUGUCACAAAGUCCUAAAUUGUAUGGGCAGUUUAUGGUUUUGGAAUUCCCCUCCUCCCUCCCUCUUGAUCCCCCUGGUUUGUGGUUUUUUCCUUUAUAAGCUCUGUGAAAAUUCAGGUCGGGGUCGAACUCCUCUACUCCCUGUGUGGUGUAUGAGUCUCGACCCUAGCAUGCUGGCCUGAGCUCUCGUUUCAUCUCGCUCACAAUAAAUCUUCCUCGUGUGAUUACAGCAGGUCGGUGUCUGUGUCCUACUGGGUGCGCGUCUUUCCCGAGACUUGAGUGGGGGGCUCCCUUCGGGGGUCUUUCAUUUGGGGGCUCGUCCGGGAUCUGCGCGACCACCCAGGGGUCCUAGACCCACUUGGAGGUAAGAUUCUCUGUUUUAUCUCAGCGCUGUGUCUGGGUCUGUGUCUAUGUUCUGUCUGGGAAUCUGGUGCGAUCGCUGUUUCGGUUUUGCGGACGCUCAGUGAGACCGCGCUCCAGGAAGGAGAGCGGGGUGGAUAGGGAUAGACGUGUCCAGGUACCCACCGUCCGUUCGCCCUGGGAGACGUCCCAGGAGGACAAGGGGGGACCAGGGACGCCUGGUGAACCCCAUCUGAUAGGUCCAGAGGAGACUUUACUCCUUGACGACCGGUUUGUUAGGCAAGGUCUGCGACCUGCCGAUCAGUUUCAGUGCCUCUGGUCGACACGAAGUCGACGUCGGUUUUUUUUUUUUUUUUUUUUUUCUCUUUUGUUUGUGCUCGUGUGUGUGAGUGUGUGUGAAUUAAGUCCUGUAGUCUGUGUUUUUCGGUACCGGUUUAAGGUCUUAGUGCACUGUCUGGGCAGAUGAAGGUUUCCUGCCCUGUGCACGGGUGGAAGAAGGUUCCCCACCCCGAAAUGGCGCCUGUGAGUAGAUGAAGGAUUCCUACUCCGAAUAGUCUUUUUCUUUCUUUUUUUCCUUUUUAGAAAGCGCACCGGGGGACGCCCCAAUCGCGCAGGCUCUGGGACUCGUGAGAGACGUUCCACGAGUCAGCCUUUGUUGGGUCCUGGCUCUGGGACGCGUGAGAGACGUUCCUCGAGCCGAAUUUUGUCGGGAGGACCCGGCAACGGGCAGUCAAAAAGAUCUGACUGUGACUUUGGAGGUCAUGUUCGGCUGCCUAUUUAAGUAUAGGCACGGACAAGUGUGCUUAGAUGUGUUAGUGUCUGUUGUCUGUAUUCUGUUUCUGUGUUUGGUAUCCCGGAAGCAGCUAAGGUUAAGCUGCAGUUUGGGCCAGGUACUGAAGGUACCAGGCAUCUGUGGAAAUUGGUUAUAGGAUGCUUUGUCUUGGUCUUGUUUGUCUGGAUUGUUUUCUGUGGUAUUGUCCAGUGUCUUUUUGACUUCUUUUCGUGUUUGAAUUUGGACUGACGACCGUGUUUAAAAUCUUGGACUGACGACUGUGUUUGAAAUCAUGAAACUGUUUGCUUUGUUCAUCGAAGAGUUUUACUUGGUCCCCUUAAUGCUUAGUAAGAAACUUAAUCUUAUGGACCCCGCUCUAGUGGCGGUGUGUUGGUUGAUAGCCAAAGUUAAUUUUUAAAAUAGUGUUUUAUCUGUGCUUGUGCUCGCAGCACACAGUAGAGGGGAGCGAAAUUAGCUGCGGAGCUGCUGCAGCGAGCAUGGGGACUUCUCAAGUCUCACCCAAUUUUUCUGGCUCUUCAGGAGCUGUUUAAAAGGAAAAGGCUUAAGGUAAAAAGAAACACUAUAGAGAGAUUUCUUAGUGAAUUACUACACCUUGCUUCGCGAUCUCUGGGAAUCUCAUGGUGGACAGCUGAGAUAAGCUGGAAAAGGAUUUAAAUUUUGCUUGGGAGCAAAGAAUCUUAAAGGUGGAGUUUCAGCCGGUAUGACACUUAGUGCUUAGCUGCCUAAAAGAUCAGAAAUGCUGUCAACAGGCUAUAAAAAAGGGACAGGCUGUGUUAAAAAUGCUACAGAAGAAUAAUCUAAAAAGGCUGAGAGCUAGGUGGGGCUAUAAGGAAAACAAGAACAGGAAAGGAAUUUCUGACAUUUGCUCACAGAAGGAGAGUGCUCAUUUAGAGAAGUUCUUUAAGGAAGCCUGCCUUAUCUGCUGUCUUUAUUCCAAGGGAGGAGUCAGUCUCCAGCACUAAAUUACUUGGAGGUAGCCAAGUUCAGGAUUAAUGUUUUCUUUUCCAUGGGCCUUUAAACCCAGUGAGACAGUUUGGUAAAGGGCUACUACUGAGGUCCUGAUAGCCCCAGGUGAACUGGUUACAAUUCUUUUAUCAGCCCCCUGGCAUCUAGCAACCAGGUUCUAACCAUCUCUCCAUCCUUUUGUUAUUAGUUGUUACUAGAAGCCUAGUGUCAUUUGGAGGCUGGUUCUCUUGAGAGGCAAAGCCAUGGAGCUGACACUGACAAUGGCCUUUUUGUUCCAAGAAAGGCCUCCUGGUUUAGCUGUGUGACUAAAUGCUGUUUGCCCUCUUCGGUAGACUCUAUUCUCAAGAUUCUCUUGUUUUCUCACCAUCCCAUUUGAUAUGCUUGUUAGUAACUGUUACAGGUCUUCUUUACCACCGAUGAAAGACGGAAUCCUACUGGAGACCAGAAAAAAAUGUUCCAGACACGGAUAGAAGGCCCUCACUUCUGCCUGCUCUCUUCAGACGCCUGAAGGUAGGGAGUGCCAGGUCUGCCCCCAGGCUCCAAGGGUCGGUCUCCUAGGGGCUGGAAAAUGCCCCACCAAUCUGGCUAAGAUAAGGAAAAGAUAUGAAGAGAAAGUUACAGAAACUUGAAGGGUUAAGCUAAGUCGCUGAGAGAGUUAUUGUAAGUUGAUGCAUGGUUCAGGGUCUGUGCAGAAAAGUGGACAGCACCUAAUAGCUGUAGAAGAAGAUGCAGAGAGACAGAAAAAAAAAAAGAAAGAAAGAAAGAAAGAGGUAAAGAGUGCAGGAAGCUAGGGAAGAAAAGAGACUAAAAGAAGAGGAAGCUAGAGAGCUAAAGAGAGAUAAAAGACAAGAGAGGAACAUAUACUGGCCACAGUAGUUAGGGAACCUAGGAAGACAGUACCUGGCAACAGAAGAGAAUUCCUGGCUAAAGAUCAGUGUGCCUAAUGCAAAGAAAAAAAAGACACUGGGUCAGGGACUGCCCCAGAAAGAACAAGAGGGGACACUGGAGAGCCUCUUGGUCCUAGAGUGCUGGCUAUGUACAGAGAUAGAAGGGAAGUGUGGAUGCAGGGACCCAAUGCUCUGUGCUCCUAUGCCCCCCUCCAGUGGGCCAAUAUCCAAAGACCUUGGGUACAGGGGCCUACUGGCAACAAACAAUACUUAUGGACUGCCCGAAGAACAGUGGACCUUGGCGUGGGCCGGGUAACCCACCCACUAGUUCAUAGUCAUCCCUGACUGCCCCUAUCCCUUGCUCAUGAGAAAAUUGCUCUCCAAAAUGGCUUGCGUGGGCUGAAAUGGCUGGGUGAGGCCAUGUGUAUGCAUAUCUACAGACUGUGUAUGCGGAGCUUAAGACCUGUCUCAGUGCACCAGUACCUGAUGCUGGGAGACGAAUGGCUUAGCGCUGUUCUACUUGGAACAUAUCACUCCUGCCAGCCGGGCACUAACAAUUAUCACCCAAUCCAGGACUUAAACUGUGAUAGAGUGGCUGAUGUUCUGCCUUUGAAUAGAGUGUCCCAAAAGAUGGGACCACUGGUCAGCUGCCAUGGACUAGAUUCUCUACCAGUUGGGGACAAUCUGGUCACCUUGCUGCCCAAUCCGGACCUGGAGCCACCACAGCACGAGUGUCAAGUACUGGCAGAAGCCCAUGGAUGGAGGAAAGACCUCUGCGACUGGUUGAUUGACCCCUGCUGAAAGCCGAGGACCUUGUCCACAGACGGGAACAGUUCUCUUCAUGAAUGAAGUACAUCAGCACUGCAGAUGCCUUUACCAUCUCUUGGAUGCCCUGGUGAAGCCAACAACUGUGAGUACUAUUCAUUGCUCAGGAUAUCAGGAGGGAAGAGAUUCAGUGACAUGGGGCAAUAACGAAGCAGAUAAAGUGGCUCGAAAAAUGGUUAUGCAGGAGCCCAUCCUGGUUGCAGGCCUGCAAGAGACAGCCACUGGGAACUGGGAUCGGACUAAGGGAUGGCCUCACUUAGAAAAGGCCCAAAUUGCUUAAAAGAUAAAGGACAAUGGCACAUUGAGGGGAAAGCUAUACUUCCCAGAGAACAAAGAAAAGACUCACUUUGCCAAAUACAGAAAUGGACUCAUUUAGGAGAUAAAAAGUUUGUCCAAGUAGUUAAGUGUAUGUAAUAGACUUUAAGAUUUUAGCCAGAGAGACAGUAGAAAGUAUAAGGUAUGUCAAUAAGUGAAUGCUUAGCAAGCAAACAGGGCAAAGAGACCUAGAGAGUUUGGUGAAAAGUCGAAGUGAACUUCACUGAGAUAAAACCAGAAAAAUAUAAUCACAAGUAUCUCCUAGUGCUUGUAGAUACUUUUUCAGGAAUAGAUAGAAGCUUUCCUCACCAAACAAGAGACGGCCUCUGCAAUCAUCAAGAAGAUACUGGAAGAAAUCUUCCUCCGAUUUGGAAUGCCCAAGGUAAUCUGGUCAGACAACGGCCCUACUUUCGUUGCCAAGGUAAGCCAGGGUGUGGCCAAGUAUUUAGAGGUCAAUUGGAAAUUACAUUGUAUUUACAGACCUCAAAGUUCAGGACAGGUAGGGUAAAUAAAUAGAACUCUAAAAGAGACCCUGACCAAAUUAACCAUGGAGACUGGCACAGACUGGGUGACACUCCUUCCCUCUUGCUCUCUUCAGAGCAAGAAAUACCCCUUCCAGAUUCAGCCUUACCCCCUUUGAGAUCUUAUAUGGGGCCUCAGCCCCCCUGACUGUAUUAGAUGAUGUUACUGAACCAACAUGUCAUAGUGCCAUAGUAAUAAUGAUUUGUGUGCCAGGCUAAAAGACCUACAGGUGAUACAGAAAGAAAUCUGCUCACAGCUGACAGCAGCCUAUGCCCCGGAGACCCCUGAGACAUCCCAUCAGUUCCAGGUUGCAGCUACACUGAGUCCAGACACUCGAGCCUCGCUGGAAAGGACCGUACCUGGUGCUGCUGACCACCCUGACAGCUGUCAAUUCUCAGCCCUCACCAGCCGUGUACUAGCUGUUGGGGCUGAGAGCUGGGACCUAGAGGGAAAUUCAGUCAUGUUUGUCCUGGGUUCUAUCAAGAUAGGUGUGGGAUAGGCUUGAUUUCCAUUACAAAUGAUGUAACAUUGCAUAUGUUAGUACUCUUAACACUUCUUGGGACUGUGCCUCAGGGAUCACAGUCCGUAUAAGCUUAGAAGUUCUAAAAGCUAGUCAUGACCUUGGUGGAUAGGCUUGGAUAGUGUCCAGGUUAGAAUCCUCAUGUUAAGACUACAAUACCAAGCUGUUAUGCUAGAUGAAGCUGAGUUCUCCAUGAAGUUCUAGGAUUAGAACUAUUAACAAAAAGAAGAAGUGGGGAAUGAAGGAUUAAAAAUUAAUAAUAAGCCGCCUAGCUACCCAAAAAGAAGAGGUAGGGUCUGUGAGAACAUGAACUUUUCGCCCCUCCCUUGCUGUGCAAUGGUUCCCGGAACAUUCUUGCAUGAAAGGUUUCCUGGAACAGCCACAAUGACCCAUAGCCUCCGGCCACAAUGGUCCAAUGGCCCUGUAAAAUGUCACUACCCCUAAUCACAAUGUCACAAAGUCCUAAAUUGUAUGGGCAGUUUAUGGUUUUGGAAUUCCCCUCCUCCCUCCCUCUUGAUCCCCCUGGUUUGUGGUUUUUUCCUUUAUAAGCUCUGUGAAAAUUCAGGUCGGGGUCGAACUCCUCUACUCCCUGUGUGGUGUAUGAGUCUCGACCCCAGCAUGCUGGCCUGAGCUCUCGUUUCAUCUCGCUCACAAUAAAUCUUCCUCGUGUGAUUACAGCA
Non-coding RNA from Rattus norvegicus (Norway rat), 6085 nucleotides. The record is from RefSeq and is a predicted model, not a curated record. NCBI's taxonomy places the organism in Eukaryota, Metazoa, Chordata, Mammalia, Rodentia, Muridae.